Long non-coding RNA from Gasterosteus aculeatus aculeatus (three-spined stickleback), 17120 nucleotides. Lineage: Eukaryota; Metazoa; Chordata; Actinopteri; Perciformes; Gasterosteidae. The record is from Ensembl.
GGCGAUGGUUACAGACAGGGCAUUGAAAAUCCGGACGUCACACACACCGGCUUGUGCCCAACACAUGCCUUGAGUCCCAGGUCCACUUCACGCACUGGUUAUUAGUGUCCAUUUUAUUUUAUAAUGUGGGUAUGUAGUGUGAUUGAUAUUUUAUCCAUUAGACGUUUGGGGAUUGUGAUUGUGAAUGUUCUAAAUUAUUAAAAGUUCAUGGACGUCUUAAAUUAUUUUGCUUUUGCCUAUGUUCUUAAAUGACUAAUUAAAUGAUAAUUUCACACAUGUCAAUAGAUUGAUAAACAAAACAAAUGGGAAAAGACACUUUCUGGUUCUCCAAAGCUUCGAUGUGGCUUUUUCAAAGGCGGUCUACUUUGUAACAUCAUUAUUAAAGGGACAUUUUAACAUUUUACGCUAAACUAAAAGACUGUUUUUCUGUCAUGACUAGUGUAAAUUAUCAGUGGAAGUAAUAUCAGUAAUAUAUUCCAUUGUGUUACCUCUGCUAGAACUCAUAGCAAUUAACGAAUAUUGUGAUGUGGAUGAUGAUGAUGAUGAUGAUUUUAAUUAUUAAUAAUAAAACAACUGGGAAGAUGGCGACAUAUUCAGCAACUUUGAGUAAAUACCAGUUAUCAAAUAAUGAGACAAUAACCUGACUGCAACAGUUAAUAAACCAAAACAUCCUGUAACACUGAUUUAGCAGAAAGUUAAAGGCCUUCCUGAAUAAAAAGGUGUUUGGGCCAGUCUUAAAAGAGUCCAGGGUCUUUGUUGCCCUUAUUUGGGGGACUGCUCCAAAAGAGUAAAAGCCCUGUCGCAUUGUGAGAAGCUUAUGGUGGAGCUUGGUGUUGGGAAACGAGUAAAGGAAAGGAGUAGCGGUCGGAGGUAGACGUGGGGAUGUGUGGCGGUGCAAACCUCAAGCCAGGCUGAGGGUGCAUCCCUGGGAUGAACAGCACCGUCUCCAGCUGGUGAACCAGAGAGCUGCUUCAGAGGCACCGGGUCCUGCCCGCCUGAUGGUGAUGCCGCCAUAAGGCAGAGUACUAAACGAGCUUUCAGAGGGGCUGCAUGGCCUCAAUCUGCCAUCUGAUUCCUCCAGCUACGCUGUGGGGGGAACACACACUGUCAAAAAGCGUUGUCUUUUUUGUUUCACUUUAAAGAGCUGUUUUUAAAAAAUCUGCUCGCUGCUUCUGGGUGACUCACAUUUCUUGGGUCGCAGUUCCGUCGGCACGGACUUAAUUCAAUGUCAUCACGUGAUACAUGGACUUGUGGGAAACACCUCCACCAGACGGUCUUUCAAUGGCCCAUUUCCAUCCGAAAAUAAAGCCUAUUAGUUUAAUAACAUUUUUAUGAUAUAAAUGAGUUUAAAGUAUGGUUAAGCAAACUAACACCAAACAUUUUUGUCGGUUUUCUCCAGACAUCACACCAGUAAUGGAUUCAUAUAGGAGUCGGCAGUGUUCGGUUUCUCUGGUUUUAGUUUAAUAAAGAUUCAUUUGAAUUAUUUGACAAUGCUGACAGGGGAAGCAGCUUUUGAGAUCUCUCUCUCUUUAAUAGCAGAACCACCGCAAGUGGAGCUGUGCUCGUCAACCUGGCCUCCAUGUGCUUCAGGCACCGGCAGAUCAAGGCAUCCGCCACUUUGGUGACCCAAUAUCUCAACCACAUGUGGACAAGUCCCGCUAGUAAUGCAAAUAUUUUGUUUUCAUACAUUCUCCCGCUGCCUCCGGGCAACGUCUUCAAGUAGGGAGGUACGAGAUGAAGCCGAGCUGGAGCUUCCUGCCGAGAGCGGGGAGGUAAAGAAAUCCAAGUGUUCUCUGAGAAAACGUCUUAAUCUUCUGCGCCGCGGUUGCAAAGAGGAAGCUGUCAGAGGCCUCUGAUGAUUGAAAUAGGGAGCUGCUGCUUGGCUGUAUUUUCUGCUUCUACUGCACACAACAACAUUGUGAUGAAUAGGACUUUUCAGGAGUCAACCCACCGGCUGCAGUUUCAAAUUAUAAGCAUUACAUGUCAUUUUUUGCAAUUACAAUAGAGUCCCACGGGUAAUUCAUCAUCGGUUAACAAUAUAAACACUACUUACUUAAUGAUCCUAUCAUUGCGGAGUCUUCCUUGGAUGAAUUCUGGGUUUUGUAGCAAGCACCAGAACCAGGUUUAACUUUUAUAGAUUUAAAUUAAAUGGUAUCCACUCGUCUCGUCAUAUAGCAUAUCAAGGAGAGGUAUAUAGGGGUGAUUAAAAGGUUUUCUGAAGAGACAUGGUGUUCGCAAACACUAAAAUCUUCCUCCUGUGGUGUAGCUUGAACAUGAAGCAUCAAGUCAAUUUGUUUUUCCUUAUUUCAAAGAUUCAAAGACUGGCUCCUUUUCAGAUAAACAGGGAGUAGCUUGAGGUUUUUUGCUAGGUUUAGCCCUGGCCACUCGGAGCUACUGUCUGCACACUCCCACUUGACCAGAGCGGCCUGGCAGGAGCGUUCUCCUUAAACAUCUGUCUGUGAGGUAUAUCGGUCGGUUUCAGCAUUACCUCAUAUUUAAAUGCCAGUGUAUGACUUUAGAAUAGGAUUGAUGUGGUCUGACCUUUUGGUCCCUACGAGCACUGCAGCAAGCCAAAUAAGCUGAAGCUUUCUGAUGGUCAGUUUGAGGAGCCCUGUCAGAAGAACAUGCACAAGUCAACUGUCACGGUGUGGUUUAUUUCCAAAACCAAGAAAUUCCAAAGGGCCAAGGGGCAAAAAUACCAGCAGAAACCAAGAACAUCCAACAAUCAACAAUGACAAGAGACACAAGUGACAAGAGACACACACAGCUUAAAUACACUAGGGAGGUGCAGGUGAUUGGUCACAGGUGGAAACAAUCCGACAAUCACAGGGGAUGACAGGACAAGGCAGGAAGUGAAGUUACCCAGGGAGACAAGAAGGAGAAAACUACAAAAUAAGACAAGAAAUAAACUACACCGUGACAUCAACACUGCUGUAAAUAAAAUAAAAUGUUUCCAGGUCUGCUUUGACAUCAAGUCCCUGAGUGUGACUGUAUUUGUAUGGUAAUGAAAAAAAUGUAUUUUGUGUUGCUAUUUAGACAAAUCACAGUCAACUAUAAUGGUAACCACUGGUCAAAAAUGUUGAAUUUCAUCAUUUUUUCACCAACAAAAUAUUAUAAUAAAAAAGAAACGAUUGCUAUGAUUACGACACUGAAAUCAGUUUGUCUGAAUGCAUGUGUCAUUCUGUUUUCAUUAUAAAAUGUGACUUCCACAUUUAGCGAAACCACUCGAAAAUUUUAAAUGUCAUUUCAUAAUGUGAAAAAAUGUAAUGUAAAUGUAAAAUGUAAUGUAGCAUCUGUUUAUUACAAAACGCAGCAGGUCAUCAGAAACAGUGUUAUAGGAACAGCCAUAUUUCUCUCUGCUUCAACUACGGAUUGUCGGUGCAGCAUGUUUUACUUCUUUUCCCCAUCCCCUUCCACUGAGGCACUGGUUCCCAUGUCUGUGUGAUAUGAACCUAUUAGUGUCCAUCAGAGUUACAGAUUAUUACAUCUGCAUUAUUCUGUCCCUUUUGCACUAAAUGGACAGAAUUUAAUUAAUUUAUUCCUUCGAAUAGUCAGCAGUGAAUUAACACUUCAUCCCAGUCAUUUCACAGUGAUAACAUGACUGAGCAAACACUCAGCUUGUUAUUUAUUCUGCACACUUUCCCAUCUGUGUGUGUUGACAGUUUGCAUCCUCUGUUGAGUUCACGUUUAAUCGGAUUAUAUAUGUCUUAUAAUAAGAUCCCUUGGCUUGGAGGAUUGUUGUUUUUCCACACUCAGGGACUUGACACUGCAAGCGAUGAGCUCUCGCUCUCAUAGUGGCAUCUGGAGCUGAGCUCUCUCUGAAUGCCUCUCGACCCUCCAUUGUUGAAGGUGAAGAGGUGAAGGUAUUAAGAAACAGUUGUCUAUCGACACAUCAGCUUUCAAAAAAUCUCUUUUGCUGCUGAAGCCUCCAUCAUGUCCCCCCGCUGCUCUUUUACAAUAAGCAGGGAGAGUACAGUCAGAUACUUUUACAGGUAGAGUAUAAUUAGAUAUUUUUUAGAGUAGAGUACAAUCGGAUACUGUAACAAGUAAAGUAGAGUACAGUCAGAUACUGUUACAGGUAGACUACAGUCGGAUACUGUUAAGUAAGGUAGAGUAGCGUCGGACACUGGCACAGGUACGAGCAGCAGUGCCUCGUAUUCAAUUGCCAGUGUAGUCAGAUACUGUUACAGAUAAAGUAAAGCAGUCAGAUACUGUUACAGGUGGAGUAGAGUACAGUCAGAUACUGUUACAGGUAGAGUAGUACAGCCAGGUACUGUUACAGGUAGAGUAGUACAGCCAGGUACUGUUACAGUUAGAGUAGUACAGCCAGGUACUGUUACAGUUAGAGUAGUACAGCCAGGUACUGUUACAGGUAGAGUAGUACAGCCAGGUACUGUUACAGGUAGAGUAGUACAGCCAGGUACUGUUACAGGUAGAGUAGUACAGCCAGAUACUGUUACAGUUAGAGUAGUACAGCCAGGUACUGUUACAGGUAGAACAGUCAGAUACUGUUACAAAUAAAGUAAAGCAGUCAGAUACGGUUACAGGUGGAGUAGAGUACAGUCAGAUACUGUUACGGGGUAGAGUAGUAAAGCCAGGUACUGUUACAGGUAGAGUAGUACAGCCAGGUACUGUUACAGGUAGAGUAGAGUACAGUCAGAUACUGUUACAGGUAGAGUAGAGUACAGUCAGAUACUGUUACGGGUAGAGUAGUACAGCCAGGUACUGAUACAGGUAGAGUAGAGUACAGUCAGAUACUGUUACAGGUAGAGUACCUGCAGCUGUUUCCUCGGCUGCUCUCCACUAUGAGCCACACAAUAACAGCCUCUGUAAAGCUCACCAAUUGUAUAAUAAAAUUGGUGAUUUUUUGGUGGUUUCUUUUGUGUUUCGGUAAAAGUGACACAUUUAACUGAAUAUAGUGAGUAAAUGGGAAAUAUAGAUCAAUGCAGCUUUCAGUACAGAGGUAGCAUUGACUUCCAUCCCGUCUUGUUCAAGGAGACUGAUGCACUAUUAACAAUGAUGUUGUCAAUGAGAAUGGGUGAAAGGAGCGUAUGUGUGUGUUUGGGCAAAUGAGGCAGGGUUGGUGUGUAUGGGGGGGGUGUCAGCUUCAGCCCGAACACAAAGACUUCCGUAUCUACCUGCAUAACGGGGAUGUCUAUAAUCCUACCUGUAACGCCCCUACCUCCCCUUUCCCAUCUCUGCUGUCUUCCCCCGUACACACUCAUGCAAGCUGUCCAUCACAGCCUAGGAAUAGAGGGAAGGGGUGUGAGUCUGGAGAAUACGCAGUGACGACUUACAGACUGGCUACCUGACUAAACAUAGCAAAGCCCCCCUGUCUGUGGUUGAACUAUGCCUGCCGUGCCUUGUCUUUUCCCCGAGUCUGGUCACAGGGGUUGGUGGAGGGGGGGAGGGGGAUCCCCCUCACUGCCAUGUGGGGGCGCUGUGGAGCUACGCCUGCUGCAGGUGUGAGACCCUCAUGUUCAUUCUGCUCUGCACUGGAGGUUAAAAUUAAACAUUAAACAUGGAGGAAAAUGAGAAGAGGGGGUGCGCAUAGGGAGGGUCGGGGGAGAUUCUAUUCAUGAAACGUCUACUUUCUUUGCAAAAUCGGACAUAACAGUGGGUGGAUGAUUCAUUGCUCGUGAGGGGCGAACUAUUCCGGCAAAGGAUGCAUAUUUCGGGCUUUGACACCUUUUACUAACAGUCCCUGUUGUGUUGUAAAUACCCACGGUCCCGAGGGGCGGGGUAAAUUUGUGCUCGGUUAUCAACUCACCAAAGAAAAACUACUAUGUACAAAUCAAUUCAUCAUAUUCACAACAGCGAGAGGUCUCAGGAGGAGAUGUUCAGAUGCUGGCUUGGGUUGGGAGUGGGGGGGGUUAUUGUUAGGUAUCUCUGGGGUAAUGUGAAGCAAUGGCGUGUGGAUUUUGACUUGAUGCCAUUUUGUUACGGUUCAGCGUUAUUGAUGUUUGCCGUUUUUGGCACAACAGCAUCUUUGAGGUUUUUCCAGAGUUUAAUUUUACAAUGUCGCCACUGAUGGCAAACCCGGGCCCUCUCUUUGCCGUUUCAGGAACAAAUGUGAUGCAACCCAGUGGCUGACAUGUCCAAAGGGGGCGGAUUGAGCGGCUCAAUGCAGUGGCUCUGUGCCGCGCAGCCAGUUUUCGCUAUCAUGACCUUGUCAACUGACUGCCACUCAAGUCAGACCUCCGAGGGUUUCUGCUUCCUUAGCCGAGGCCGGCGCUGUGACGGACCAAAAAAAAUCUCACUGCUGCGCAAUUCCCUUGAGACGCCACAUGGCAGGUAGGCAGCAGUACGGAAAGGUUUUUCUGUGAACUUCAAGGAACGAUGCCCCGCCACCCCCCAAAAAACUGAAAACAGAGAGAGAUUACAGACUCAACACAUCGGCCAUGGCUUGAAUUUUCCUUCUGAAUUAAGCAAUCAGGGACAAUUGAAGGACUUGGUCAAAGAGUCACACAACAAAGUGGUUUUGUCAUUGUGCAACCAGAGAUUUUGUGUCGGGAAGAAAGUGAAUUAAUUAAAUUGCAUUGGUUAGCGCCUAAGUACUUGACACUGGUGCCCAAUUAAGAUCUGUAAGGCCUGGGGCACGAAACACUGGAGGAGCCUAUAGAUUUUUAAUAGCAAAUACAUGACAAAAGUGCUACUUUCGACUUUGAUAACCUUGUUUUAAUUACGCAAUUACAUGGCCGUCUCCUAACCCUGCUCUCUUUGGUGCAUUUAAAAGCAGCCUCCACAUUGAGGGCCAUUUGUUCAGCGCUACGUCAGCUUUGAACUCGUGGGAAAUAAUAUGCAAAAAUCUUUCCUUUGAUGCAGAGCAAAGUGCGCUUAUUAAACAAUUAUCAUAGUUAUUCUCGUAUUAAUCCCCCAGAGAGACUGCAAAUUAGCAGGAGGGUUUAAAAUAGACUUGUUUAAUAGGUGACUGUAUGCCCCGCGGCACAGCAAUGCGCCGCCGUCAACACACGUUGACGAUGUCAUGGUUCCCCGUUGCUGUUCUGUCAGGGAAGCUCCCCAUGAGGAAGACAUGACAGCUCUCCCCGGCUACGGAUACAGUGCUCUUGAGUCCUUUUUACCUCGAUAAGCCUCCGCAAUGACGGAGUGUUUCGGCCCACAUGGCACACACACACCGCAGUAAAGUGCAGUCAUUAAGAUGUUUGGUUUCCCGCGCGUCUCCAUCUGAGAUUGAGUGGUUUGGUGUUCUGACGCUGCGCAUCCCAGAGAGUGGCUGUCAGUCAGCAGCUCCAUUUCUAUAAAUUGUAUAGUAAAACUAAAAUAAGGGAGUCUAGACUGUAUGGCAGAAAUGACGGGAGCAAAGGUUAUAUGUGUGUCAGUGUACCUUCUGUCUGGGUCUGUCGGCCCUGGUUCAGACAGUUUGAAGAGAAAGAAUACUAAAUUAAUAUUUUAGCUAGCAGUUUGCUUCCACUUUUGUGUCGAUUGUGAGAGCGUAGGAGGUGAAAGAACUGAAAAAUAACUAGAAAAGGCAGUUUAUGAAGCAGUACAAGCUUUCUCUAAGGGUCAGAAACAAACCCCAGGGCCAGACGACAGACAGACAGACAGGCAGACAGUCAGACUCUGCAUACACACACAGGUCUGACAUUAGGUUCUGUUUUCUCCUGAUCAGUCAUGUAUUUCAGAAUUCAGAGCUACACACACUUAAUCCAAUAUAUAUUUUUACCCUCCUUGUGAUCUUGUGAGAGUCUCAUCCCGCCUCUGUUUGCCACUGUUGUUUGCGUGGUCAUCUGGAUGGUGUUUCUUGUCGUCCUGAUCUUCUCAUUUUUAUUUAAAGAUGUUUCUAUUAGGACAUUUUGGCUUUUUUUAAAUUCUGCUUGCUCAUAUGAUCGAUUGCAUCAUUUCUUUCAUCUCGUUUUUUCUACCAUCACAUUUGAUCAACUGUAUUUUUCCUUCUUGACGCUCAGCUGCUGUUUUAUUGCUGCACAAAUAGACCUACAACCUGUUUUUGUUUGUGCAUCUAAUCCACUUUUUCUGCCACCAUGUCUCGGGCUGACUAUAAAUCAUCUGGCUUAUUUUUCUCUAACGUUAUAACCCAUUGGAGUCGGAUGAAAGAAUUAACCACCUGCCCCCCCACACACACACACACGCAGUACAAUGAUAAUAGACGAAAGCUACGGAUGAAUAUUAAUAAAUGAUGAUGAACAUCCUUUACUCUCUCCAAAGACAAUCUCUCAGCUGGGGGAAAUGUAAAUGGUUACAAGCGGUAGUAGCAGGCAACGGAAGAGUCCAAUAAAAGUGAAGUAGGAGGGUCACAUAUAUUAGAAUUACACCCGAAAACAACUCUGCCUGCAAUGCCAAAAACACCCAAUAAAUUCUCUGUAAAAGGUAUUUACAGUUACUAACGCUCAUUCGAACACUCAGAUAUUGUGUGUUAUUUAUAGUAACCCAAGUACUUUACUUGUAACACCUACAUCAUUGCUUAUAAUAACAGAGGAUGUGAUAGGAGUGUCGAAGAUGGCGGUGGCUGAUUCUGAUUCUGCUGAUGUAAUGAUGAAUCAGCAAAGUACGAUGAAUGAAUUGCGGGCAAACAAGUAAUAAAGUAUGUUUUUGCCUGUCAUGGGGUUGGGGUGGGAGACUCAGACAAUGGUAGAGGAUUUAAGGUUGGAAUGUAUUCCUCAAAGCAGAUACAAACUAAAAGGCCAACAGGAACACAAGGAAACACAUGGUUUAAACACACUGGGGAGGUGCAGGCAGAAAAUCAUUAAGGUGGAGAAACACCGGGGCAGGAAGUGAAUUAAACCCAGGGACAUGAGAGGCAGGAAAUACAAGAAAACAAGAACAAGAAAACAAGAAAAUCCAACCCAACAUUAUGACAAUCCAUACAUAGUAUAUCUACAUAAUCUCCAUCGGAUGCCAGGAUAGGGUAUUCCUUAAACACUGUCUCGUUUCUCUCCUCAGCCCCCCCUUCUCUAACUGAGAAUGUUGGUGAGAAGAUAAUGUUAACUAUAAAUAUUAAAACCAGUCACAGAGAAUAUCAGGUUUAUUUUCUGCAUCAGAGCAGGGAGGAAUCGAGAGAGGAAUCAUCACUUUACGUCUGUUCAAGUGUGAGCUGUCGAUCCCAAUUGUGAUGUUGAAAAGUUGCAUGGACAUUAGUUCAGCAGAUUUGAAUUGUUAUAGCUUGUGAGUCAAAUCUGAUUCGGCAAAUCUGAAUAUUUUCCUCUGGAGUAGAAGUGUUUUUGAAGUGCCUUUGGGUUCUUUUGUAACAAUAGCAUCUUUCAAAAUGACAAACAUUGAAUACAAAUGCCAUAUAAUAACGAUAUUAACGAUAUUAAUAGUCUUCAUAUAUCCUACAUGUUUGGUUUGCAAUGAGCAGACAUUUAGCCUGGAGAACUUAUAGGAGAAAUCUGGUCAGCUCCGCACUGACUGGUGCACCCCCCAUCACCCCUCCUACUCUGGCCUCCUUCUCCAGCCCGAGGAGCUCUCCAUGGUGCUCACACAUUCACAGCAGAGCUUAACCGGACCCGAGGAACCUAAUCGAUCCACUUAUUAGAAAAUAGUUUUUUCCCAUAGAAAAGCUGGUCAGACUGGAAGCUGUGAUGAUCUGCAUCGUGAAGUGAGGAGGACGCACUCCCACCCCCUUUACACCUCACACAUGCUGUGGCAUCGUUAAGAUCACAAUGGGCUUUAUUGGCCAUGCAUGGGCAAUGUGCUCCUCCCUGUGAGUCCGGCCUUGAAGACGUCAUGCUCCUCAGAAUCACACUGGCCGUGGGUCAUUGAUCGGAGCAGUUACUCAGCCUCAGCCUCAAACGGCUUAUUUUGGAAAUCAACAUGACUCCAGGCUUUUGGUUUCUGAAGGGUGCAGCCUGACGGAGAGCACCUUUAAACAUCCCCUCAUACGAUCUGUGUUUUAACUGCAUUAUAUAUUCACUCAAUGCGCACUUACAGGCUUUGCGUCGGAUCUUCUACGACGUAUCCUUGUUUUCACGCACAAAUGGACUUUGAAUGGCCAUUGAGGAGAUGGUGGACACUGUGUACUACAAGAUGGGAUGACGACGGAACCAUCUCCAUGGCAACUGAGAAAACACAGAGGAAGACCGUGAAACACAGUUGAUACAAUCAAUUUUUCAAAUAAACAUCAAGUGUUCUAUUAAAUGUCUCUCUAGCGGUUCUGGAGCUUUUGAUUGCCAUCACAUGAGCUUCAUCAAUGUCAAGUUUGACCAGUGCUCCGUUAGUUGUGGAUAACUUGAAAACCUGGUUUUAUUUAGAAACAAAGACCUCAAAAUACAUGAUCUUCAUAAAAAUGGCUUUCAGAGGUGUCUCGUAACAAGUUUCAGCUUGUAUCCCAUCUCAUGCAUGUUUAUUGGAAUAGGUCCCCCCAGGACGGGACAUCUCAUGGAACAGGCCUUCUCUCCUCAGGGCCCACGCUACGCACUCUUUUUUUUGCAUCCCUUAAUCAGGUGGAUCAGACCUCCAUGCUUUAUUCUUGAUGGACACUGUACACACUGUAGAUGAUGAAGGGGAAACGUGUUUACCCGUUGGUAUCAUGACUACGCGCCCUUUGAGGGUGUGCUCAGCUCUUCACAGUGGAUGGCAUUGAUUGCACAGGGAGAGGGGGUUGUCAUCAGUCUGGCUACGUGGCUGCAGUUUCCAAAAAAAACUGAUAUGAAGAAUGAAAUAUCUAUAAUUGCUAGGACUGUCAACAUAAAUGCAUUAAUCUAUGCGAUUAAUGCGGCCGCGAUUAAUCCAACAAAAUAUUUUAACAUAGUUAACGUACGUUUGUUUACUUCUGGUUAACUGAAGUUGACCGUGGAAACAAAACGGCCGCUAACUGCAACCAGUUACAUCAAGAUGGAAAGAUUUUUGCAUUGGAAGUAAAACAAACAGAGGCGCAACAUACAGUGGUGCAGAGGAAUUACUCCACGUGUCAAACAGAAAGUGAGUGAGUGACAAACGGACCACUUAAAGCACUGCUAGGCUAAACUAGCUGCCAGGCUAAGGUAGCAGCUAGGCUGCCUCCAUCUCAACAUCUAACGUUACCCUGUGCGGCACACAGUCUGCAGAGGACCACCACGGUGUCCCUAAAAGACCUUGAUUUGAAAACGUUCUGGCUAAAUGUGGGGAGAUUGUUGGCACUUCAAAUACAGGCGUUACAUUAUGGAGAGUUGAGAGCAGAGUGCACGAGGACAACAGUUCAACAUGUUGAACCAUAAGGGGAAAUUCUACCUCCAAGAUGAUCAAAUGUGUGUAGUUUUGUGUUUAAAAUAACAUUAACAACAAUUACCGUUUGGGGUUAAUUGUACAGUAGUAGUAGUAGUUGUAGUAGUAGUUAUCCUUUAGAAGAAUUCCCUGCAUAAACGUAAUGCUGCAAUGUUUCUCAUUGUCAUAUUUAGUGAUUUGGGGAUUAACAUCUGGUAGUAUGCCCAGUGCCGAUACUCCGUUACCUCCAAAUGUUCUCUGAGCACCAGCCAAAGUUUGCUUACAAUGUAUGAUCGUGUUUAGAAGCUUGCAGCUCUUGGUUGAAGAUGGCUGAGGACUGUGUGAAAUGUGACAUUUUCACACACAAUAGCACAAACGGUAUAUUUGAACUCUCUUAUCAUCUUUUCACCACACAUGAAACACAUUGAAUUCAUACAAUUGAAGACACAAUAGCAGAAGCCCCGACCGCCCACUAUGAUAGAGGUUUAAAAAUACCUUUACAACUAUACUCAAUGAUCCAGUAUGGGAGCCAUUAUGUACCAGCCUGUGCUCAGUUUCCUCUCCUCUCAAGUUACAACUUGAAACAGUAUAUUCAUGUUCGCCCUGAUGUGAACAUUGUGUGCUUUAAAUGAUUUUGCCAGAGAACACUUUAAAAUGCCACUUCGAAAAAAGUGCAGGCUGAUCACUCCGAGAGGGAAAUGCAGCAAUGUUAUAUCACAGACACACACACACACACACACACACACACACACACACACACACACACACACACACACACACACACACACACACACUAAUCUGCUUCAUAUUGCUUUUAGAAAGGCUCAGAGAAAGUUUGAUUAAAUAAAAUGCAAAUCACAGUGAUUUUACACUUGACUUUGAAUGUAACUGAGAUGUUGCUUCAUUGGUAUUCAGCCGAGCAUUAUAGUGAUCCUUACUGCACAAUACAAAUGAAGCUGCAGAGGCUCUCAGCAUGAAUACGCACAAGGGAAUGUCAUUCAGCUCUGUCUUCUCCAUCAUUAUGUACACCUCACCAUCUAUUGUUUGGAAUCCAAACACUCUUUGAGCCAGCAGGAAUCCUGUUAUUGUGGAUCAGAGGAGAAGGGGUCAGGCUGGCCCUGGGAGCUCGAAGCACUGCGAAUGAGAAAACAUAUGCAAGUAGGCAAAACACAAGCACAAGAAAUCAUUAUCCCCAGGUUCCCAACAAAAUGCUACAAAUGGAGAAAAGACCCAUUGAUGUGCAUGAAUAGGGAGACAUUUUCUUACUUUGCUUCUGUUUGUAGAGCAUUGAGCUUUAAAAGAAAAAAUCAUAUUUGAGCAUGAGUGGUUACAUUGUGUCAUGUUAUUGUUAUAUACCUGCUACGACCAUGUAAUAACUGUUAAGAGGUCCUGCUCCUGUCUGUGCAGUCACAUCGCUCCCGGAGAGGAGGAAAGAGGGUCGGAGCUUUUAGAUAUACAUAGGUUUUAGUGUUUUUCCAACUACAUUUGGAUCUUUUAUUAUUUUGUCACCGUAUUGGGUGUGAUAUCAAGCCUAUUGCCGUUUGAUUGCUUCAGUGCUGUCUCGUUUAUGCAGAUUUUACAAGUUUUAUAUCCCAUCCCCAUCUUUUAAACCAAUCUUUUUCUGCAGACUACCUGAUGUUUCAACCUGCUGGCUUUCGAAGUCUCCGCUCAGCACCACCUCAGCUGAUAGAAGAUCUGCUCCACCCUUUGGUAGCCACACUGUUUACAGCAGUACAGCCCCCCCAGUCUUCAUGCACGGAUAUUUAAUGUCAAAAGAUUUCUGGCUUUUCAUUUGAAAUAUUUGCAAGAAUUGUUGGUUUUAUUUUAGCGGCCAAAAAAUCUGCAAAUUGAGGAAGUGAUGACUAAAUGAAAACAAUUUGGGUAUUUGUAGCAAAGUGGUAUUCAUGACCAACCACCAUUACUGAUGCCCUUCUGAUGGCAUUAUUGUAUUAUCAAGACAACAGGUAAAUAAGGUCAACAUUGAUUGUACUUGUUUACUUUCAACUGCAGUUAAAAAUAGAUCGCAUUGAUUGAUGUUAAUGCAUGUGUUCUGAAGUGUUUAUUUUUUCAUAAAAAAUGUUUCUGCAUCCCCAUAGACUAAGCCUUAAAGUUAGUUAUAGCCAAAGCCUCUACCAUUUACUCAGAACUACUCUUAGGUCUAAUUCUUAAAUGUUUCAGACUGAUAUGAAAAUUACCUUUAAACCUUAAGCUGUCAUUACAUUCACUUACAGCAACUUCAUUCAUUUUGGAGAUGUGUAAUGACAAAAGCACAGGUUUGCAAGAUCUUUGUCAACUGUCUAAAUAUCUAAAUGUAACUGCAGUGUUCCCCAAUAGGUUGAUCGCGAUCAACCAGUCUGUCUUGAAGGCAGUACCAGUCGAUCGCAUGCAAUCAAUUAAAAGAAUGACCCAUAUGCGCGGCCCAUUCCCGCGGGAGAUGACCGGAACUAAUGCUAAUUAGCGACCCUUGCUUACUAACGGACGCAUUUAAUUUUAUUCUAAAGAAUGUGCGGGAUGCUUGUGACGGUUCCCUCCUUGUGACAGAUGAGAGGCUAGUUGUUUUCUCCAUAUCGACUCGUUUUGCGCUGACUUCAGUCCUGCUGUUCCACUUGGUAACCGUUAUUACGGUCCCCCCCCCCCCCGCCGGGCGGUCCUCCAUGGGGAGGGAGGAGAUCGCCAUGACUUGGUCAGUUGAAAAGUAGCUCGCGAGCCGGAAAAGUGUGGGCACCCCUGGUCUACAGGGACACCGGUGAUUGCCUUGGUCUCUGUGGAGGUUCAUUUUCGGCUUGGGGUUCCAAGUGCUCGUAGCAGCUGUUCAGUCUCUGUGUCUCCUCUUGUGUAUCUGUGUAAAUAAGCAAUGCCUUUUUUCAGAUUGGAUCACAGUAGAUUGGACCACACCGGCUGAGAGGUCUUCUGGGAUGCUUGGCUCCAUCUGUUCCGGUACCAAGCAUUCAUCAUGCAGCCAAGUAGUAAGUCUGGUCAUAUAGUGAAACAAAUAUCAUUGAAAAUGUAUGUGUUAAGCACUUAGGACACAUCUUUUAUAGUAUUUUUAUUGGACACUCCCUGCCUGCUACAGGUUUCUAAGCCAAACCUACAAUACCAAUGUUGUGCUGCAAAAGUGGAAAUAACACCUGAAUAGUCUUGUAGCCAAUCUCAAGAUACCACAUGUGAGUUCAUAGAUGCAGUAAGCCAGGCCUAGAUGUUCCACCACUGGUCCAGGCACUGACCCAUAAAGAAAUGACCAGAUGUUAAAAUGCUCCUUUCCUAUUACCUAAGGGUUGAUAUUGUCCAAUAGCACAACAGCUCCUUGUGCUUUAUCAACCUGUUCACAAUCAGUCACUUUUAUGGCUUGUAAGGGAAAAAUGUGUUUUGUGGGUUCCAACACGUUUCAAUCCCUCGUUUCCAUAUAAUCAUAAUUAGUGUUCAGAUCUUUAUGUGUUCAGAUCUUUAUGUUCACGUUUGUUUAAUGUGACUAAAUACGCUUUGGCGUUCAACUGAACACAGUGUGUUUUGGAACUCAUCCAUCCAAGUUGUUUGAUGAUGUAUUUCUUUGUCCAGCCAUAUUUAGAAACUUGGAGAGACGAGGUGGAGGCCAACAUGAGGUUACUAUAAACGGAUAGAGGAUCAUUUGGAGCAUUGUGUUAAAAACAUCAAGAAACUGGUUAUGAUCAGAACCCAAAUAAAGGAGAUGGAGACGUCCCCCCCAAUAUGAAAUGAAUGAAUGCGUCAAAUGUGGUAUUAUUAUGUACAACUGCCUCGUAUGUGUCUUUCUGGAAAGAGCUUGUUUCAUUAGAGUCUGUGUGAUUCCAAUACAUCUCUGUGAUUUGAAACAUCUGAAUGUCCAGUGUGUUCUGUGUGGGGGUGUUACUGAAAGUCCUACGUACCUCACCACAUGUUAAAGUUAGAAGAUAGAGUUAAUUAGUCAGAAGGUUGUACAAACUGAAAUCCACCACCAAAGAGGUUGUGGUCUGUCCCUUUUGUUUCUCUUUGACUCCGUUUUACAUAGCGCUUGUGCAGCUACAUUUUGAGUUUUAAGUUCAGCUUUUAGCUUCUCUUCUAUGGUAUGAUGAAGCGAUUAAGAAGACUCAACCUCCCCCGCUUACGUUGACCGAGAUGAUAACCCCCCCUUCUUUUGUGUUUGAUGUUGAGUUCCCUUGGUGAUAGUGGUAUUUGGGGGCUAUUGUCAAAUCUAUCACACUAGAUUCCAUCUUUCACCUGUUGCUCUUUUUUGUCUGAAGUGAGCACAAUGUUCCCCUCUCACACUCUCCACAGUAAUGACCCAAUGUUCUGAAAGAAGAAAAGCCUGAGUCCUUGGGGGAUGAGGGGGGCGGCCCAAGCGUGGACUGUAUGCCCCGAGGCCCUCUCGCUCCGCUUAUAGAAAAGUCCAUUUUAGCUUCCUCACACGCUGACCUGCAACCACAAACAGUGGAAGCUGAUUAAAAAUAUGGCAUUUCUCUUUUUGCUACACAACAUGAUGUAUGUGGCAUUCACAGUAUCUAAUAUCAUAUAGGUAGUGUGUCCAAAAGCACAGUACACCACAUUGGCAUCUGUCAAGCAACAUCGUUGCCAACCUUGCACCAGCAAAUUCUUAUGAUGGUGAGUGAUGACUAAGUAUUCAUUAUUUUGAAAUGAUUUAGUUGGCUAACGUUAGCUAGUUCUGAUUAGUUAGCUAUGGGGGCGUGCUAGCUAACCUAGCUAAGUUAGCCAAUGUUAGACAGAGUGCAGUCGGUGAGAGAAUUUUUUGGAAAGGGGGUGUGGCUUAUCUCUGUAAAGGCAGUUAUCAUUUCCGCUAUCCACUAUGGAAAUACACUAUUUGUGCUCUGUACCUGUUGUGGAAAUAACACAAACGUUGCACAUUAACUUACGAUCUUUCAAUCUGAGCUGUCUGUCUCGGUAAGUGACAGUUUCAUAAAGUGUAUUCACGCUUUGGCAGUAGGACGGCGGCGAUAACGAGCGGAGGAGAGGAUCUCAAUGCUGAUUGGCUUUCGCAGGACAGCGUUGUUGAAAUAUUUUACCUUUGGUGAAAAAGCUAUUCAUUCGCUUCUCUCCUUUAGCUUUUUCGGGUCCCCCAUGCAGCAUUGUGUUGAGAAUUUGCGUUGAAAAUUUGCUUCCUCCACAAACAUGCGCUUCUGUGCAUUGACUUUGCAUGGAAUCUACUCAUUCAAAUAAUUUGCUUCGCUUUUGCUGUGAACAUUAGUGAGACGCAGUUGACUGGUCUCAAGGUUUAAAUAUUUAGUGUUUUGUUUUUACAGAAGCAUGAAGUAAUCGGCUCAAUAACAUUCUGCGUUCUGCAAAAUGGUCAAGCUAAACACGAGAAACUAAAAAUAAAAUUGAAUGAGUCUGAUUUAUGUUUUCUGUUUGAUUUGGUUCAAAAGAAAACUGUACAGAAUCUGUACACUACUGCCUAAUAGUCUUAUUAGUGCUAUUUGAUGACAAUUACACAUACAGGAAAAUAAGUUAAUUUAUUAUUUUUAACAAAGGUUGAAUGUUAUUUCACAAGUUUCAUAAAAUGCCCCCAAUUUCUUAUGAAAUUGGUUUUUAGUCAGUGGGGGCAAAAAUUCUGCUAUUUUUGCACUCUCACAUCUGUCAAGGGUUACCAUAUUAAAAGUUAUAACUGAGCCGUCAUUUUAUGGUCACAAUAUUGAAAUGCAGGUGCUGCCGGACAGAUGCCAUUAGAUAUUAAAUGUUUCAUCACAGUGAAUGUGGCAGCAUGCUGCUUGUGUGGUUAUCACAAAGUCCCUUGAUAUCUGAAUAUUUUGCUUAGACAUUUUUCUUAAAUUUGACUCCACAAUCUAACACACACACACUCACCUACACAUACACCCUUCUUAGAUCUCAUCCACACUUGUCGGCUGCAUCUUUCACAGUCUAAAUUUAGCUUACCAGAUUUAAUUCAAUAAACCACCUGUCUUCUCUUGCAGUCACCUCACUGCUUCAAGGUUUUCUUCUUAGCAUUUGCAUAGUAA